UGAUGGGGAAGCCCUUCGGGGCGAAGUAGCUGAUUUCACACUGUCAAGAAAAGCUUCUAUCGAGUUUAAAGGCGCCCGUACCGUAAACCGACACAGGUGGGUGAGGAGAGUAUCCUAAGGCCAGCGAGAGAACUAUUGUUAAGGAACUCGGCAAAAUGACCCCGUAACUUAGGGAGAAGGGGUGCCUGUCUAUGACAGGCCGCAGAGAAUAGGCCCAAGCGACUGUUUACCAAAAACACAGGUUUCUGCUAAGUCGCAAGACGAUGUAUAGGAGCUGACGCCUGCCCGGUGCUGGAAGGUUAAGGGGAUCUGUUAGAGCAAUCGAAGCAGUGAACUUAAGCCCCAGUAAACGGCGGCCGUAACGAUAACGGUCCUAAGGUAGCGAAAUUCCUUGUCGGGUAAGUUCCGACCCGCACGAAAGGCGUAACGAUUUGGGCACUGUCUCAACAAUAGACUCGGUGAAAUUGUAAUCCCGGUGAAGAUGCCGGGUACCUGCGACAGGACGGAAAGACCCCAUGGAGCUUUACUGUAGCUUGACGUUGGGUCUUGGUACUACAUGUACAGGAUAGGUGGGAGACUAUGAAGCAUGGACGCCAGCCUGUGUGGAGUCAUCCUUGGGAUACCACCCUUGUAGUACUGGGAUCCUAACCAUAGGCCUUGAAUCAGGUCUUGGAACACCGUCAGGUGGGCAGUUUGACUGGGGCGGUCGCCUCCUAAAAAGUAACGGAGGCGCUCAAAGGUUUCCUCAGCACGGUCGGAAAUCGUGCGAAGAGUGUAAAGGCAAAAGGAAGCUUGAUUGCAAGACAUACAGGUCGAGCAAGGACGAAAGUCGGACUUAGUGAUCCGGUGGUACCGCAUGGAAGGGCCAUCGCUCAACGGAUAAAAGCUACCCUGGGGAUAACAGGCUUAUCUCCCCCAAGAGUCCACAUCGACGGGGAGGUUUGGCACCUCGAUGUCGGCUCAUCACAUCCUGGGGCUGUAGUAGGUCCCAAGGGUUGGGCUGUUCGCCCAUUAAAGUGGUACGCGAGCUGGGUUCAGAACGUCGUGAGACAGUUCGGUCCCUAUCCGUCGCAGGCGUAGGAAAUUUGAGAAGACCUGUCCUUAGUACGAGAGGACCGGGAUGGACGUACCUCUGGUGUACCAGUUGUUCUGCCAAGGGCAUGGCUGGGUAGCUAUGUACGGAAUGGAUAAGCGCUGAAAGCAUCUAAGCGCGAAGCCAACUUCAAGAUAAGAUUUCCCACCGUAAGGGUAAGACCCCAGGAAGGCUACCUGGUUGAUAGGUCGAAGGUGUAAGUGCAGUAAUGUAUUUAGCUUAUCGAUACUAAUAGGUCGAGGACUUGAUCAA
This 1345-nucleotide ribosomal RNA is filed under the name metagenome. Its description in RNAcentral is "bacterial LSU rRNA". It matches the Rfam family "Bacterial large subunit ribosomal RNA", at positions 1564 to 2925 of the family's 2925-position model. The record is from RNAcentral.